Molecule: ribosomal RNA, 468 nt
Filed under: uncultured bacterium
Lineage: Bacteria
Description: partial 16S ribosomal RNA
Rfam family: Bacterial small subunit ribosomal RNA
Source: RNAcentral
GACGAACGCUGGCGGCGUGCUUAACACAUGCAAGUCGAACGGAAAGGCCCUGCUUUUGUGGGGUGCUCGAGUGGCGAACGGGGGAGUAACACGUGAGUAACCUGCCCUUGACUGUGGGAUAACUUCAGGAAACUGGGGCUAAUACCGGAUAGGAGCUCCUGCUGCAUGGUGGGGGUUGGAAAGAUUCGGCGGUUGGGGAUGGACUCGCGGCUUAUCAGCUUGUUGGUGGGGUAGUGGCUGUCCAAGGCUUUGACGGGUAGCCGGCCUGAGAGGGUGACCGGCGACCUUGCGACUGCGAUACGGCCCAGACUCCUACGUGCGGCAGCAGUGGGGAACAUUGCACAGUGGGCCGACGCCUGAUGCAGCAACGCCGGGUGCGGGAUGACCGCCUUCGGGUUGUAAACCGCUUUCGCAUGUGCCGAAGCGUGAGUGACGGUAAUGGGUAAGGAAGCACCGGCUAACUACGUG